AUUGAACGCUGGCGGCAUGCCUUACACAUGCAAGUCGAACGGCAGCAUGAUCUAGCUUGCUAGAUUGAUGGCGAGUGGCGAACGGGUGAGUAAUACAUCGGAACGUGCCCUGUAGUGGGGGAUAACUAGUCGAAAGAUUAGCUAAUACCGCAUACGACCUGAGGGUGAAAGUGGGGGACCGCAAGGCCUCAUGCUAUAGGAGCGGCCGAUGUCUGAUUAGCUAGUUGGUGAGGUAAAGGCUCACCAAGGCGACGAUCAGUAGCUGGUCUGAGAGGACGAUCAGCCACACUGGGACUGAGACACGGCCCAGACUCCUACGGGAGGCAGCAGUGGGGAAUUUUGGACAAUGGGCGAAAGCCUGAUCCAGCAGUGCCGCGUGUGUGAAGAAGGCCUUCGGGUUGUAAAGCACUUUUGUCCGGAAAGAAAUGGCUCUGGUUAAUACCUGGGGUCGAUGACGGUACCGGAAGAAUAAGGACCGGCUAACUACGUG
RNAcentral lists this ribosomal RNA (490 nucleotides) under uncultured bacterium. RNAcentral describes it as "partial 16S ribosomal RNA". It matches the Rfam family "Bacterial small subunit ribosomal RNA", at positions 30 to 507 of the family's 1533-position model. The record is from RNAcentral.